GAAUUUAAACCUCUUCCAGAGUAUCAAUUGGAGGGCAAGUCUGGUGCCAGCAGCCGCGGUAAUUCCAGCUCCAAUAGCGUAUAUUAAAAUUGUUGCAGUUAAAAAGCUCGUAGUUGAAUUUCUGCUGCAUUGCAUCUUCUUUUUGAUGAGUUGGUGUAUUGUGGCUUAUUUCGGAUGAUACUUGUAUUAUCCGGAUGAUUACUUUGAGAAAAUUAGAGUGCUCAAAGCAGGCUUUUGCCUUGAAUAGUUUAGCAUGGAAUAAUAAAGUAGGACUUUGGUUCUAUUUUGUUGGUUUUAGGUACCAAAGUAAUGGUUAAUAGGAACAGUUGGGGGCAUUCGUAUUUAACUGUCAGAGGUGAAAUUCUUAGAUUUGUUAAAGACGAACUACUGCGAAAGCAUUUGCCAAGGAUGUUUUCAUUAAUCAAGAACGAAAGUUAGGGGAUCGAAGACGAUCAGAUUCCGU
This 463-nucleotide ribosomal RNA is filed under the name Theileria luwenshuni. RNAcentral's name for it is "SSU rRNA". It matches the Rfam family "Eukaryotic small subunit ribosomal RNA", at positions 521 to 1018 of the family's 1831-position model. The record is from RNAcentral. Lineage: Eukaryota; Apicomplexa; Aconoidasida; Piroplasmida; Theileriidae.